Molecule: ribosomal RNA, 916 nt
Filed under: uncultured archaeon
Lineage: Archaea
Description: bacterial SSU rRNA
Rfam family: Archaeal small subunit ribosomal RNA
Source: RNAcentral
UCUGGUUGAUCCUGCCAGAGGUUACUGCUAUCGAGGUUCGACUAAGCCAUGCGAGUCGAAUGUAGCAAUACAUGGCGAACUGCUCAGUAACACGUGGACAACCUGCCCUUAGGUUGGGUAUAAACCCGGGAAACUGGGUAUAAUACCCGAUAGGUCUCGAUUGCUGGAAUGCAUCGAGAUUUAAAGCUCCGGCGCCUAAGGAUGGGUCUGCGGCCUAUCAGGUAGUAGUGGGUGUAGCGUACCUACUAGCCUACGACGGGUACGGGUUGUGAGAGCAAGAGCCCGGAGAUGGAUUCUGAGACACGAAUCCAGGCCCUACGGGGUGCAGCAGGCGCGAAAACUUUACAAUGCUGGCAACAGCGAUAAGGGAACCUCGAGUGCCAGGUUACAAAUCUGGCUGUCGAGAUGCCUAAAAAGCAUUUCAUAGCAAGGGCCGGGCAAGACCGGUGCCAGCCGCCGCGGUAACACCGGCGGCUCGAGUGGUAACCGUUAUUAUUGGGUCUAAAGGGUCUGUAGCCGGCCGGAUAAGUCUCUUGAGAAAUCUGGCAGCUUAACUGUCAGGCUUUCAGGAGAUACUGUCUGGCUCGAGGCCGGGAGAGGUGAGAGGUACUUCAGGGGUAGGGGUGAAAUCUUGUAAUCCUUGAAGGACCACCAGUGGCGAAGGCGUCUCACCAGAACGGACCUGACGGCAAGGGACGAAAGCUAGGGGCACGAACCGGAUUAGAUACCCGGGUAGUCCUAGCCGUAAACGAUACUCGCUAGGUGUCGGCCACGGUGCGACCGUUGUCGGUGCCGUAGGGAAGCCGUGAAGCGAGCCACCUGGGAAGUACGGCCGCAAGGCUGAAACUUAAAGGAAUUGGCGGGGGAGCACCACAACGGGUGGAGCUUGCGGUUUAAUUGGGAUUCAACGCCCGGA